RNAcentral lists this ribosomal RNA (563 nucleotides) under Amphelikturus dendriticus (pipehorse). RNAcentral's name for it is "partial 16S ribosomal RNA". It matches the Rfam family "Bacterial large subunit ribosomal RNA", at positions 1817 to 2597 of the family's 2925-position model. The record is from RNAcentral. Lineage: Eukaryota; Metazoa; Chordata; Actinopteri; Syngnathiformes; Syngnathidae.
CGCCUCUUGAUAAACAAAUAUAAGAGGUCCCGCCUGCCCUGUGACUAUAAGUUUAACGGCCGCAGUAUUUUAACUGUGCAAAGGUAGCGCAAUCACUUGUCUCUUAAAUAGAGACCCGUAUGAAUGGCAUAACGAGGGCUUAACUGUCUCCUUUCCCCGGUCAAUGAAAUUGAUCUCCCCGUGCAGAAGCGGGGAUUAUAACAUAAGACGAGAAGACCCUGUGGAGCUUUAGACAAGAAGUCAAUUUUUAGGCUAGUGCAUAACUAAGCAUCAACUAAUUGGCUGAAUGUCUUUGGUUGGGGCGACCGCGGAGUAAAACACAACCUCCGCGAGGACUGGAGUAAACCUUUAGAACUAAGAACCCCUGUUCUAAGUAACAAAAUAUUUGACCUUAAAAGAUCCGGCUUUAAGCCGAUCUACGGACCGAGUUACCCUAGGGAUAACAGCGCAAUCCUCUUCAAGAGUCCCUAUCGACAAGGGGGUUUACGACCUCGAUGUUGGAUCAGGACAUCCUAAUGGUGCAACCGCUAUUAAGGGUUCGUUUGUUCAACGAUUAAAGUCCU